Long non-coding RNA from Mangifera indica (mango), 485 nucleotides. RefSeq lists it as uncharacterized. NCBI's taxonomy places the organism in Eukaryota, Viridiplantae, Streptophyta, Magnoliopsida, Sapindales, Anacardiaceae. The transcript is spliced from 2 exons. The record is from RefSeq and is a predicted model, not a curated record.
GAAGGCGGUAAAGCGGUCACUCCCAAAACUUACCUGCAAUAUUCCAUUUCCCUUCCAAACUCCAUUCAACAUAACAGACCGUCGACGUUUCCAACACAGCUCGCGUCCCGCUUUAAUUCUCCAGCAGUCCAAACUAUUAAACUAAAUUACAACUCUAGAUGGCGACGAGCUAAAAUCAAUGCAAGCUUUUCAGCUCAUUGUGAGCGUUCAAAUUCUCAUUCCCUUACCUUCCUAACUUUGAUUGUCAGGCUGCCUAAUUCGCGUGAAUUCCUUUGAACUACGCAGAUUGGGUUUCAAACUCUGGGAUCAUCUCAAAUCUAUUGUUCACAUCACAAUAUUUUGAGUAAGGUUUUCUAGACUCCUUAGCGCUGUUAUCUAUUUGGCAGACAACUUUACAAUGAAAACCAGCUUGCUGAAAUCUCUUCGAUAUUAUUGUGCUUUUCUUUUUUGUAUUUAAGGAUAUACUAUACAUGACUUGAACUUUA